UACGAAGGGGGCUAGCGUUGCUCGGAAUCACUGGGCGUAAAGGGCGCGUAGGCGGCUGAUUUAGUCGAGGGUGAAAGCCCGUGGCUCAACCACGGAAUGGCCUUCGAUACUGGUUGGCUUGAGACCGGAAGAGGACAGCGGAACUGCGAGUGUAGAGGUGAAAUUCGUAGAUAUUCGCAAGAACCCCAGUGGCGAAGGCGGCUGUCUGGUCCGGUUCUGACGCUGAGGCGCGAAAGCGUGGGGAGCAAACAGG
This 253-nucleotide ribosomal RNA is filed under the name uncultured bacterium. RNAcentral's name for it is "partial 16S ribosomal RNA". It matches the Rfam family "Bacterial small subunit ribosomal RNA", at positions 524 to 776 of the family's 1533-position model. The record is from RNAcentral.